GUAAAGGAACUGAUACCGUUAAGAGCAAGCUUGAUGAAGCUUGAUAGGUAGAGGAAUUGACUCUGACACAAACCAAUAGAACCAGAGUUAAUUAGAUCAAUUUUAAAGUCUGAUGUAAAGGCAUCCUUGAGUAGAUAUGGUAGAGUACCGUAUCAGCUGAAUAGAUCUUCAGUUUUUAAAUUCGAGAUGAAAAUUUGAUCUUCCAUACGGAUGCAAUAUAGGGAUCUAACUUUGAGAAGUGGUUUGGAGCUAUUAAAUCUGAAAUGAAGUCCAUAA
This 276-nucleotide long non-coding RNA is filed under the name Elaeis guineensis (African oil palm). Its description in RNAcentral is "long non-coding RNA (EGUI_LNC058421)". The record is from RNAcentral. Lineage: Eukaryota; Viridiplantae; Streptophyta; Magnoliopsida; Arecales; Arecaceae.